Long non-coding RNA from Bombus terrestris (buff-tailed bumblebee), 3344 nucleotides. RefSeq lists it as uncharacterized. The transcript is spliced from 4 exons. The record is from RefSeq and is a predicted model, not a curated record. NCBI's taxonomy places the organism in Eukaryota, Metazoa, Arthropoda, Insecta, Hymenoptera, Apidae.
GGUAGUAUGGGUGAAACAGGAUGUAAGAUACACAGUAUGUGAUAAGAAUAGUUUGCAACAAAUAACAUUGUUCAUGUGUUCCUUGUUAAUAUAUUCAAAAAGUGUUCAAUUUACUCGAUAAACGACACGAUUCUUGAGAUAAGGUUUUUACUAGCACGCUCUCGUCAGCAGCAUUGCGAUUGAUGAAGUCGAUUUGAAGGUUAGCUCGAUACGUGACGUGACGUCGUAAAGCAGCAGCACAAGAAAGCUGGUGUGUAUAUACGGUGGAACGUAAAGGGCUGACGUUCGUGGACGAACGAAAGCGUGCAAUGAAACUGGCCGCCUACUCUCUUCGUAAGUAACGCGAAAUGUGCCGUAAAACUGGCGAAAUGACGAAAACACGGCAACCAAUUCGACUAGCAACGAUUCCUUACAAUCGCUUCUACACUUUUUUGCAUUAGCCCUGAUUUAUGCUAAAUUACCUAAUUUGUAAUAUUUCGGGGCAUUAUUCAGACUUCAUUUUAUUGUAAUAGACUUUGUGGUACGUCCGAUUUCUUAUUUACAAUACGAUUCGAUUACUUUGUCUAAUUUUUAAAAGUCCUAACCUUAGAUGAUCUCAACUUUCUUCUUUAGUUAUUUGUUCUUAUUUUCCCGAUUUUUCAAGAUUUGUUCAUAUCUACGGUUUCAUUACUUUUCUAUGACUUAAAUCGCAACGAAAUUUUCACUAGAUACAUUGCGUUGACAACUAAGCGAUUGCUAAGUGAAGCAUUACCACCUAAUGACAAAAUCCGCAAUCACUUUGUUGCCAACUUAAUAGAACCCAUGACAAUUCUGUGAGAUGAGGUAAUUAUCAAAAGAUCAUAUAUACAUAUGUAUUCUGUUGUUAAAGAAGAUUCCUGUAGUAUAAAAUAGUGAUUCUAGAGAAAUUCCAAUAGUUCCAUCUAUUUCUGUUUCUUAUGAAAUAAGUUGUAAAGAAAUUCUUACCGUUGAAUCUAUGUCGCUUUUAUAACCUGAGGUUAUCUAGAAAAUUAUAUUCUGUUACCAAACAAGUUCCUUUUAAUAAAAAGCGGUGAUUGCAGAAAAAUUCCAAUAAUUCUACCUAUUCAAGCAUCCUCUGUUAUUAGAGGAGGAAAAAAGUGAAUACAUAUACAUACAUGACGAGGUAACGUGUUAGUUUCUAAAACCAGCACGAAUGCAGGGAAUUACUACUGUCUCGUGCAGGGGCUUGCUUAUUUGUUCCGUCGUUUUUUCCUCCAGCGUGUUGGCCAAUCCUGCUAUUGAUUACAAGAGAGAAGAAAUCGAGUGGUGUAUGAUAAAUCGGGAGAGCUGACAGCCCUGUGACGCUUGUUUCUUCUCUCUUUCUCCCUUUUCUGUUGGCCUUUUUCUCCUGCUUUUCUCAUGAAGAAGGGUGGUGGUCCACACCGGGCGUCCCCAUAGAGAUUCCAUGGACCCCCGGAACGCAUUAUGGAAGCAUCGAGGGAAAAAGCACAGCUAUUGUGCUCUGUUGGCCAACCAAAAAACUUCACCAACCAAAAUCUCUUGAAACCCCCUCCCCCCCAUUCUGCUCCGCCCAUCUCGUUAUUUUGGUUGAGAAGCUGCCUCUCCUCUGGAAUUGCGUUACAUCCGUUGGAUAUAUUUGACGAACGCAGAUUGAUAGAUUGUGGGACAAAUUUUUCUUAUCAAUUGCUGAGUAUAGAAUCACAUUUCCUGUGUUUUUCCAAAGACAACAUAAUGCAGAUAUACACCAGAAAGAGUUUCACUAAAAACAAAUCCAUUUGUCGUUGAAUUAAUUAUACAGGGUGUCAAGUAACAUAUCGAACAUUCUUGCAAGGAUCCUGCUUUUCCUUCACACGUUUCACAAAAAAAGCUGGGACUGAAAGAAUGUCAAGUGGAACUCAACAAAGGAGCUUCUGAGCUACUUUACAUAAAAACACAAUGUGCUUGAAAAUACCAGUCGCUGGAGAGAAUUCAGUAAAAUAAGUAGAAAGAUAAAAAGAUAUGUAAUGUUUUUCGAAUGGUAUCAGGUGGGAUAACGUUGUAUCGAUAACGUCGAUGGUAGUCACGGUUCCUUAAUCUAAAACCUUUGGCCGGAGAUCGUUAGAUUCUAUUGCCGCGUGGAAAUCGCGGAUAAGGAACGCGGGACCGGAAGCUCGUGGCGGCGAAGGGUAAAGGGGCGAGCGCGGCGAGGGCAGCUCAACGUUUCGUUUGCAUGUCCCGGUGUAAUAAGCGUCACCCCCAGUGACUUCUCGGCUGGCGUUAUUAAUUCGAUUAUAAUGAGCUAUUAAGCGAAACGCUGGUAAUCCUGACAAGCUCCAUUCAACGGGCUAGGCUUAGCUGCUCGAACCCAGCGAUUGCCUGCAACCCUGUUCGCUGUUAAGCAAAUUAUCAGAGAGGGGAACGCCUCGAGCCUCCUACUACCUUCUUAUCGCAUUUUUACGACACCUUGAUUUCAAUUUUUAAAUCGUUUCCGCAAUGUCUCCGUUCAGGGUAAAGUAAUUCCUCGAAGACGGAUUUAGGAUGUUAAGGAUGGCUGACAGGAUCGUUUUUCUGCAUAAUAAAUAAUUGAAAGACUUUUUUCGUGAAUUGAGUAAAUUGCGUUUGAAGUAUUAAUUAAUCCGCGUUUUUAAUAUUAGAUACCUUUCAAUUGAUAAGUGUAAUAAUUCUUAAAGAUGUUCUUUUUAUGUUUAUAAAAUGAAUACAAAUUUGUAUAAUAAUUCAACUAUUACAUUAUUAGAAAAUGUAUAUAUCUAAGUUGUAUUUGAAAUAUUAAUUAUUCUGGGUUUUUAAUAUUAGAUACUUUUCAAUUGAUAAGUGUAAUGACUCUUAAAGAUGUUCUUUUUAUGUCUAUAAAAUGAAUACAAAUUUGUAUAAUAAUUCAACUAUUACAUUAUUAGAAAAUGUAUAUAUCUAAGUUGUGUUUGAAAUAUUAAUUAAUCUGGGAUUUUAAUGUUAGAUACCUUUCAAUUGAUAAGUGUAAUGACUCUUAAAGAUGUUCUCUUCAUAUUUAUAAAAUGAAUACAAAUUUGUAUAAUAAUUUAACUAUUUGAUUAGAAAAUAUAUAUAUCUAUGUAGCUAUUUAUUGAAAUUUAUAUAAGUAGGACUUUUUCUUAGAUAAUUUCUCAAUUAUAAGAGUAUAAAGUAUUUCGUUACUAGGCAUUGGAAUUUAUUAUUUGUUACAAUAAAGAAAAUAUUAUAUUAAUGUAUAUAGCAGGGAAAAUUGAUGCUGAGUAUAUAUUGUUGUUUAACACUUUGACUGCCACGUCCAAAUCACAUGUUUCGCUGAGGACGCCACGGGAAUAUUUUUAUUUAAAGCAUAUAAUGGCAAAAUAAUAAUAAAUUGAUGAUGUAAGACAACGUUCUUCCCC